GAGUGCCCCCUCCGGCUCGGACCUCUCAUACUUCUGGGGAAAAGAGGGGCGCGGUAGUGGGGGAAGGGAAGAAGAUGUUCCCCCCCCCGAGGCGUCCCUGACUCGCCUAACCCCGAAAAGCGGACACGGCUUCUGCCGCCAUCGGGUCCGCCAACCCCCUAAUGGGGGAAGUGGGAGAAGAAAGGGGAGGGGUCGCCCCGCCCCCUGCUGCUGAGGGGGAAGAGGGUUCCCGGCUCUCGGAGAUGGGAAUACUAAUGAGAGCGACAGAGCGAGACAGGAGCAUUGAGCUGGCUGCCCGGAGCACAGCACCGUGCGCUAGCUACUCAGUAGUAUUACCCCUCAGGGAGUGAGGACCCCUCGAGCUAACUUCUGUGCAUCUGCAACAAAACGGUGGGACCCGUCCCAAAGUCCUUAAUAUCUACAUACCGAGAGCCAAAAGCUGGGUGCAACGAGGAGGUUGGAGAAACACAUGGUAACAGUUAAAGGAUAACGUGACAUUAUUGGCCCACUGGGAGGAUUUGAGGACUGGCACUGGCCCUAAGGAAACCAUUUCAGACGUGUCAUUCCUACACAGUGUAUAUAAACUGCAUGCAUGCAAAAUGCAAGAAGUGCAAGAAAGAAAUGCAAGUCCUGAUUGCCCGAAUGAAACAACAUCAUGAGAAGUGUUCCUUCUCAGGAGGAAGCUGCAUUGAAGAUGAUGAAAGGAACAUGUCUGAACAUGCAGGAUAUUCAGGAUGAAGAGAUGGUUUUUACAGGAGGCUUGAGAUCUCUUCUUCCCCUUGCAGUCAGAAGUCUAAUUCGAUUCAACAAACUCAAUAUAAGUAAUACUUCUGGAAUGGCUGAGGGCUAUAAACAGGCAAAUGUUGUGAUUUUGCACAAAUCCCUUGCUGAUGACUUUGAAAAGUUUUGCCAUGCAAAUGAUGGACCUCUCCCGCUGCUGUACAGAAGUAAACCAGGUGAAUGGAAAUGUCCUUCUCUGAGCAGCAAUUCUGAUAUCAAAACUGAUUGCCUGCAAUACAGGAUAUAUGAGUAUGGAGCUUGUACUGGCACUUUGACAAGUCUAAAGGAUUAUUUUGAUCAGCUUAAAGACAUGGUGACUUUUUACUUAGGCUGCAGUGACUCAUUUGAAAAGGCAGCCCACAAAGUUGGUGUUCCUCUAAGGAACGUUGAGCAGAAAUGCAACGUAAGCAUGUACAAGACAGAUAUGCCUUGCUGCAGAGUUGCUAGUUUUUGCUGCAAUUUAGUGGUCACAAUGAGACCGAUUCCUGAAGACAAGUUAGAAGCAGUUGUGGAAGCUACUUAUCCAUUGAAAGACUCACAUGGAGCACCAGUUCAUAUUGGUAACCCUGGCCUAUUAGGAAUCCAAAACCUUUCCAGCCCAGACUAUGGAGAUCCAGUUCAGCCUCACCCUCAGGAUGUUCCAGUGUUUUGGGCCUGUGGAGUAACAGGGGUGGAAGCAGUCAGCAACUGCAAGUCUCCGCUGGCUUUUACACAUUCUCCUGGGUGCAUGUUUAUUACUGACCUGAAGAAUGAAGAUGCUCCAGUUCAUAACUCUAAAGAAAUCCCCAAGGUCCACUGCAUUUCUCAAAAUCCUUUGCAUUAUAGCAUUGCAUCAGAAACAGCUGUGCAAAAGAUAAGAGAGCUAGAAAGCCUAAUUGGAGUAGAUCCAGGAGACCGGGGCGUGAAACAUUUGUGCUGCCAGGAUGAGCUGCUAAAGACUUGCCUCUCCCUUUCACAUGCCCGAUCAGUGCUGAUAACCACUGGAUUUCCUACUCACUUCAACCAUGAGCCACCUGAAGAGAAUGAUGGACCUCCAGGAGCCAUUGCUAUGGCAGCCAUGUUGCAGAGCUUGGAGAAAGAUGUUGUUAUAGUAACAGACCAGAGAGCCAUGGGUUUGAAUAAAAAGAUUAUUGAGGAUGCUGUUCAGCAAGGGGUACUGAAGACACCAGUGCCUCUAUUGAGUUAUCAGGGAGAUGCUGCAGAGUCAGCUUUGAUGUUUUUGUGUGAGAAUGGGAAUCUUGAAAGACCCAGAUUUGAUCACCUGAUAGCAAUAGAACGUGCAGGGAUGUCUGCUGAUGGCAAUUAUUACAAUGCAAGGAAAGUCAAUAUUAAGCAUCUAGUGGAUCCCAUAGAUGAACUGUUUCUAGCUGCACAUAACAUCCCUGGAGUCACAACAACAGGCAUUGGGGAUGGAGGAAAUGAACUUGGAAUGGGAAAAGUAAAAGAAGCUGUAAGGAAGCACAUAAAAAAUGGAGAUGUUAUAGCUUGUGACGUUGAAGCUGAUUUCGCUAUUGUAGCCGGAGUCUCUAACUGGGGAGGCUAUGCUGUUGCUUGUGCUCUGUAUAUCCUCAACACCUGUGAAAUACACGAUCGCUAUCUGCGGAAAGCUAUUGGGUUCCCCAGAUUGUCCAAGAAGGCAAACUGGGCAUCAGCACUUCCAUCCAUUACUAAGGAAGAAAAGUUACUGAAGACACUUAUACAGCAUGGAGUCCGUAGUGGAAUAACUGCCAGUCUCGAAAUGGAAGUGGAUGGACUGCCCUUCUACAAUAUACACUCAGUUAUGAUUGAAAAACUUCUGGAGCAGAUACCGUGAUGCCUUUUCCCUAACCAUUUCUAAACUCUAGAGUAUCUCUCCACCCCUAAUCUAACAAGGUCUCUGUAAAAGACUGUUUGUGUGAAUGAGGAAUGCAUGCAUCAGGAAAAGAUAAGAUGUGAAGGCCAAAGUUAACCAGAUGGUCAAGAAAGGAGGAGCGAAGACACUUAUCGAGACUUAUUGACACCAGAGAACCAUCAACGUGCAUCUAUAAGUGAGGAAGGACAGAUUGAUGACCAUGAGGUGGAGGCUGGCACCCCUAAAGACAAUUGAUUAAAUCAAAUCCAGGACAGGAUGACCAUCUCGGAGGUGUUUUGGAAUGUUUACAUCAAAAGAUAACACCAAUUAAGGAGUAACCAGUCAUAAACUGACACAGCAAAAUCCAUAGACUUCAACAGAGAAAAAAAAGACUAUAAGAACAGGGUGCUUUACCAUGGGACUUUAAGUUUGUCUUGCCACAACCCCAGGAGCAUCGGAUCGUGACUGACAGAGCCCCUCUAGGACCAAUCUGGCCACUAGAUCGAUCCAGAUUCUGGACUGGUAACUAUAAACAUUGACUGGCGGGACUGUGUGUAUGGUGUAUGUGUGUGUGUGACUGAAAAGC
Mauremys reevesii (Reeves's turtle) is the source of this 3197-nucleotide RNA transcript. It is a transcript of the gene named D-glutamate cyclase, with no coding region annotated. The transcript has 17 exons. Lineage: Eukaryota; Metazoa; Chordata; Testudines; Geoemydidae. The record is from RefSeq and is a predicted model, not a curated record.